This 858-nucleotide ribosomal RNA is filed under the name Queenslandipenidiella lingcangensis. RNAcentral describes it as "SSU rRNA". It matches the Rfam family "Eukaryotic small subunit ribosomal RNA", at positions 72 to 944 of the family's 1831-position model. Lineage: Eukaryota; Fungi; Ascomycota; Dothideomycetes; Mycosphaerellales; Teratosphaeriaceae. The record is from RNAcentral.
AACUAUACGGUGAAACUGCGAAUGGCUCAUUAAAUCAGUUAUCGUUUAUUUGAUAGUACCUUACUACAUGGAUAACCGUGGUAAUUCUAGAGCUAAUACAUGCUAAAAACCCCAACUCGGGGUGUAUUUAUUAGAUAAAAAACCAAUGCCCUUCGGGGCUCCUUGGCGAAUCAUAAUAACUCAACGAAUCGCAUGGCCUUGCGCCGGCGAUGGUUCAUUCAAAUUUCUGCCCUAUCAACUUUCGAUGGUAGGAUAGUGGCCUACCAUGGUAGCAACGGGUACCGGGGAAUUAGGGUUCGAUUCCGGAGAGGGAGCCUGAGAAACGGCUACCACAUCCAAGGAAGGCAGCAGGCGCGCAAAUUACCCAAUCCCGAUACGGGGAGGUAGUGACAAUAAAUACUGAUACAGGGCUCUUUUGGGUCUUGUAAUUGGAAUGAGUACAAUUUAAAUCCCUUAACGAGGAACAAUUGGAGGGCAAGUCUGGUGCCAGCAGCCGCGGUAAUUCCAGCUCCAAUAGCGUAUAUUAAAGUUGUUGCAGUUAAAAAGCUCGUAGUUGAACCUUGGGCCUGGCUGGCCGGUCCGCCUCACCGCGUGCACUGGUCCGGCCGGGCCUUUCCUUCUGGGGAGCCGCAUGCCCUUCACUGGGCGUGCCGGGGAACCAGGACUUUUACUUUGAGAAAAUUAGAGUGUUCAAAGCAGGCCUUUGCUCGGAUACAUUAGCAUGGAAUAAUAGAAUAGGACGCGCGGUUCUAUUUUGUUGGUUUCUAGGACCGCCGUAAUGAUUAAUAGGGAUAGUCGGGGGCAUCAGUAUUCAAUUGUCAGAGGUGAAAUUCUUGGAUUUAUUGAAGACUAACUACU